Molecule: unclassified non-coding RNA, 21 nt
Filed under: Dictyostelium discoideum
Lineage: Eukaryota; Evosea; Eumycetozoa; Dictyosteliales; Dictyosteliaceae
Source: RNAcentral
GAAUCAUCGGAUACCAAGUUG